RNAcentral lists this ribosomal RNA (388 nucleotides) under Minisyncoccota bacterium. RNAcentral describes it as "partial 23S ribosomal RNA". It matches the Rfam family "Bacterial large subunit ribosomal RNA", at positions 2521 to 2925 of the family's 2925-position model. Lineage: Bacteria; Bacillati; Minisyncoccota. The record is from RNAcentral.
GCACCUCGAUGUCGGCUCGCCCUAUCCUGGGACUGAAGAAGGCCCCAAGGGUUUGGCUGUUCGCCAAUUAAAAGGGUACGCGAGCUGGGUUCAAACCGUCGUGAGACAGGUUGGUCCUUAUCUGGUGCGGGCGUUAAGAUUUGAGGGGGGUUGUCUUUAGUACGAGAGGACCGAGAUGAACAUACCGCUGGUGUAUCAGCUGUCCUGCCAAGGGCACGGCUGAGUAGCUAUGUAUGGUUCCGAUAAGCGCUGAAAGCAUAUAAGCGCGAAACGGGCCCCAAGAUGAGAUCUUAUAGACUCCUGGAAGAUUACCAGGUUGAUAGGGUGCAGAUGCAAGGGCAGCGAUGUCCUCAGUCGAGCACUACUAAUAUGUCUGAAACCGACUUAC